UUUAUUUCCUAUUGUUCAUUCCCAAAAAUCUCAGAUAUCAUGGCGGCUUCCUCUCUUCUGAUUUGACGGCUCCUGCUUCCUGCUGGUCCCGAUGGCCUCUACGCCUCCUCCAUUGCUCUAGGUCGCUGCGGCCGUUGAUGUGGGUGGGGAGAGGAUGGACAAACUCCUAUGCGGAAGGAGGGAGGACUGCUCAUGCCCGUGAGCGUGGCUGCUAGAGGAUCUUGACGCUGGUAACGAAAAGAUCGUUGCUUGAUGUGGGCCUUCAUUGGUAAUGCCUCCUCAUUCCUCGCUCUUCUCACUUAAUUAAGGUAGUGCUCCCCUUCCCCUUCCUCAAGUAUAGCUUCCUGAUCUGGUUUUUUGCCUGAGAUUUGUACGUCCUUGGCUGUGAUUGUGAGCAUAUAAAUCGUAGCUGCUUGCUUUGUAAUGCAUCUACUGCUACCUCAGCUGAUAGCUUGUGUAUAUAUGAGGGUGAUGACAUCGUUAUUAGCUUAAUUGUGAAUAAGCUCUGUGUUACAACUGAUGGUUACUUAUUAACUGCUGAGGAUUUCAGUGUGGUUGAUGAUGAACUCAACGUAAGCUUCAUAGUUCAUAGUUAAUAGCUUGAGUAUUUUAGAAACCUUGACAUAGUUAAUUUGUCGUGGGUACUACAUGGAAAUCUGUACUUUGACCAGGAACAAAAAGGUCUGGUUGUUGGUGCUCUUGUAUUUUGGUUAUUUCUUCAAUCUGAAAUAGCUUACUGAGUAAUGAUUCUGUUUGAUUAUGUUUUUAUGUCCUUUCUAUUUAUGCAGUGACUUGUGCUUCCAUGGGCAACAAUUUGUUGAACCAAAAGGUUAUUGUACAGGCCAAUAUCUUUAAAAGUAGAAGAAGGUGAUCAUUUUCUGUCCAUUUGAUUUUGGUCUUCGGAAGCUCAUUACAUAUGCCUACAGUGGUGGAGCUGCUGCUUGAAUCGAUGGGAGAUGGAGGAGUUGGCGUGUUGCUGCUUGUGAUUUGUGUGCUCGAGAGGAGCUGCUGCUUGCUUGCAGUGGAGAAAAGAAGCAAUCCUUAGGCGAGGUUAUGAUAUGGAAUGUGGGGGACAGGAACUGCAUUGGCGUCUUGAUAAGACACACUAUAAGCAUGAAGUCCCUUUCAUGCCAUUCUUCAGAUCCUGGCUGGAGGUGAGAUAGCUGACUUCAUCAUUGUUCUGAGGAAUACUGAUGCCAUCAGGAUAUUCAGUGGAAAGGCACAUCCAUCUGUUGGUGCUGGUGUUAGUGCUUCUGCUGGCCAUGUCGGACGAGUAGCUGAGGCUGACUUCCGUGCUGGUGAUGGCUAUGCUAGAAAAUGAAAUGAGAUCAGAGAUAGACAACGAAUUCAGAGAUACAUAUUCAGAUUUAAUUUGAUGAAUAGCAAAUUCAUGUUUGUAAAAAAAAUAAUAUUUAGAUCCUGUUCGGCAUGGCUCUAACUCAGGGUGGAGUGGCUCCACUCCAGAACUCCA
This is a long non-coding RNA of Setaria italica (foxtail millet), 1471 nucleotides long. RefSeq lists it as uncharacterized. NCBI's taxonomy places the organism in Eukaryota, Viridiplantae, Streptophyta, Magnoliopsida, Poales, Poaceae. The transcript is spliced from 4 exons. The record is from RefSeq and is a predicted model, not a curated record.